RNAcentral lists this ribosomal RNA (497 nucleotides) under uncultured bacterium. RNAcentral's name for it is "partial 16S ribosomal RNA". It matches the Rfam family "Bacterial small subunit ribosomal RNA", at positions 28 to 507 of the family's 1533-position model. The record is from RNAcentral.
GACGAACGCUGGCGGCGUGCCUAAUACAUGCAAGUUGAGCGCUGAAGGUUGGUACUUGUACCCACUGGAUGAGCAGCGAACGGGUGAGUAACGCGUGGGGAAUCUGCCUUUGAGCGGGGGACAACAUUUGGAAACGAAUGCUAAUACCGCAUAAAAACUUUAAACACAAGUUUUAAGUUUGAAAGAUGCAAUUGCAUCACUCAAAGAUGAUCCCGCGUUGUAUUAGCUAGUUGGUGAGGUAAAGGCUCACCAAGGCGAUGAUACAUAGCCGACCUGAGAGGGGGAUCGGCCACAUUGGGACUGAGACACGGCCCAAACGCCUACGGGAGGCAGCAGUAGGGAAUCUUCGGCAAUGGACGAAAGUCUGACCGAGCAACGCCGCGUGAGUGAAGAAGGGUUUCGGAUCGUAAAACUCUGUUGGUAGAGAAGAACGUUGGUGAGAGUGGAAAGCUCAUCAAGUGACGGUAACUACCCAGAAAGGGACGGCUAACUACGUG